RNAcentral lists this transfer RNA (82 nucleotides) under Haladaptatus sp. T7. RNAcentral describes it as "tRNA-Ala". The record is from RNAcentral. Lineage: Archaea; Methanobacteriati; Methanobacteriota; Halobacteria; Halobacteriales; Haladaptataceae.
GUCUUCCUCGACGAGGAGCGUCACGACUUCGCCGGUCGUCGUGGCGAGGUUGUCGACGUGUGAUCGUGCGACGCGGUAGGCC